CAAUCUGUAUUUUUAUCAAUCUUUGCUGAUUGCGCAUCUACUUUCUUGUCCAAAGCUUCCAAUUUUUCAAAGAUUUUUCUAGCACAGAAACAGAUGCUCCUGAGGCCAUAUCUUCCAAUUGUAACUGCUCUACUUCACCCUCUCCCUCUUUUGCCUGUAGCAAGGCAGCUUCUUCAAGUUGUACUUCUGAGGGCAAAGUAGGCACAGAUGAUCUACGUGUCUGCGAGGCUGAGGUUAGGUUUGUUAGAGUUGUUUGUCUAACUCUUCCUCUUCUUCUUGUACCACUCAUUCCAAUGUUAUCUAUCAGUCAAGGUCACACUGAGUUUUUCCCACAGGAAUAGAGAGGCCCAGAGCAAGCAGACAACAAGGGAAUCGAAAGUAAAUGUAUUUAUAAAGUCACUGUUUUAAUCCAAUCCUCUAGAGGGAGCUUAAAAUGUCUUUUCAGAGUCUGAUUUAAUGUCCCAGAACCUUCCAAUAUAAGUAUUAAGCAGAGUUUAAAAGUAAUCACUUUGUUGCAGACAGUGCUUAUUUGUCUCCAGAAAGAAUGUUUCAAAUUUAAAAGGUCUCAAUACCCUCAGAUUGUUGCAACUUCUAAUAUACAGUAUCCAAGUCAAACACUGACAGCCCACUGUUACAGUGCUCAAGCAAUCCUGACUCUGGGUUUCACCUUCCAAUUUGUAAUCCAAUAAAAGGGGAAAGUCAAGUGCAAAUAAAAGGUCCAAAUCUUUAACUUGCUAGUUUUACUUUAAAUUGUAAGUUCCAUAGAUGCUUGGCUGUGUAGAGUUUAAAAUCUCUUUCUUUCAGCCUCCACUCCUCCACCUUAGUUGCUUUUUUUUCCAAGUUCAAUGGCAGCGGAAGACGGACUUCCUGUUUCCACGUCUCUCCGCUUUCAGCCAAAUUCAAGUCAAUUUAAACCUUCUCAUUUAAAAUUUGUAAUUCCAAGUGAUUCAGUCUUUACUCACGAAUAAGUUGUUUUCUUCCAGGUCCGAAUUUUAACAGGAAAAGGGAUCAGCGCUCACCGGCAGCAGCAGCGCGGCUUCACUCCGCUGACUGUGAAACGGCUCACAGCGCCGCAGCCCCCCUCCACGCUCCGGAGCCUCUUACGAGGCUCCUUCUGCAGUUGGAGGGCUGCUCUUGGCGCCCGCCGAGCCUCAGGACCCCAGGCUCUUGCUGCCUGGGGUUUUUCUCGUUGGGUCUCCGCUUCGCCGUAGCGGACGGCCCGAUUUCAGCGGAGCUUCUUCUCCCGUCGGGAGAAGACCGCCAUUACCGUUCGCGCCGCCCCCCGGAAGUC
This is a non-coding RNA of Podarcis lilfordi (Lilford's wall lizard), 1291 nucleotides long. The record is from the annotation of a GenBank genome assembly. NCBI's taxonomy places the organism in Eukaryota, Metazoa, Chordata, Lepidosauria, Squamata, Lacertidae.